This is a long non-coding RNA of Manis pentadactyla (Chinese pangolin), 2437 nucleotides long. RefSeq lists it as uncharacterized. The transcript is spliced from 3 exons. NCBI's taxonomy places the organism in Eukaryota, Metazoa, Chordata, Mammalia, Pholidota, Manidae. The record is from RefSeq and is a predicted model, not a curated record.
UUUGCUGUUGUUUCCUGUGCCGGGAAUAUAGCAGCAGGGAGUCUCAGGUGUUCUCUAACACGCACUCGUGACCACCUGCCGGGCACCCGGGGCUGCCGUGUCAGGCCGGGCAGUACAUCAGCUCAUUCUCAGGUGGAGAGGCAGUCAGCACAAGCUGCUAAACAAGGCGUCUAGAAUCCUGCCCUGCCCAUCCCUUGGGGUCACCAAGACAUCUGGACUUCCUGGGCCCACUGUGGUCUUCUUGUGUCCUUCAUGGUCAGGGAACAAGUCUCCAAGUCCAGCCAAGUGUCUCUGCAUGUUGGAAUCCAUGAGUUUUUACAGGUGACAGGCUCUGCCUCAGACUCCUUUUGGUGGAAGUGGAGGUAUAAACAGAUAGCCCACUUAAUAGGAGACUUCAGCAAGACCCUUGCGUUCUGUUUUUGCCUAGCAGCAUGGAGCUCAGCAUUUCCUCCUGCAGACACCCAUGCACUGUCUUAGAGUUCUUCCUCUCCAUGGCCUGCUCCUGGGAGCUUCCUCCCAUUCCUUCCUAGCAUCUAUUACCAACUGUAAUUUGUAAUUACUUGUAUGUUUACUUGCUUGGUUCUGAAUCCUUUGAGUGUAGCUACAAAAGGAGAAAUGGCACCAUUCAUAGUCCACGUCUUGACCUCCAAAGACUUUGCAGAGAGCCGCCAACCUCGCCAAACCCAGGAUGAAAGUCGUUCAAAGAAACUCUCUGUCCUUUUAAUCAACUCCUCUGCUGCCCUCCCAGGGCCCUGAUGCUACUACUACAAGUACUUAUUUGUUCAAAUGAAUAUUAACAUUGUAAUUUAGUACCUAAUUAUGCUUCUCUAGUCAUAACUGGAACUGUGGUAUUAAAAUCCUUACAUGCUCUUUGGCUAUCAGCAUGUACCUUUGUCAAUAUCCUGGAAUUGCCGGAGAUUUCUUUAAUGUACAAUCUUUGUGCUCACGUCUCUCCCUGUCGCUGAUCCUCCCAUGUCCCUUACAGAUUUACUCUCAGCUGCUGCAGGUUGCACUUAGCACUGUAGUCUUGCUUGAAUAAAAUGGGAGGUUUAGAGUUCAGCUCUUUCUUAAAGAAGCGUGUGCAUACAGGGUUUUUGAAAUGGCUUCAUCUUGUGUCUGAUGAUAGUACCAGCCACACAACAUUACAAUUUUAGGAUUCUAUUUUGGGGAAAAAUUGCCAGCCUUCAAGUAUCUUGCCUCACACAUAAUAAAUGCUCAAUAAAGUUUGCUUAAUGUCUCAUAUCUCUAAGUCAGAGGUCUUCAGUCCUGGAUACACAGAAGAAGAUGAGUAUCUUUAAGUAGACUUCAUACCUGGUCUAUUGUCAGAACAAUGAAAUCCAUAUCUCUAUGGAUGAGGUUUCCAGAUGGUUCCCAAGACAAGAAGGAUUGACAUCACUGCUCCAGACACAACCAACGUGAAUAUGUUUUAAAGAGCCGCUGUUCCCUGAAUGACCCAUUCCAGUGUAUAGCAGCCACUGACCAAUGAUUGAAACUUGGUUUCUCCUUGGAACUUUUCUACAAACUAAGUAGCCAUAUCUAACAGUGUGGUGGUGGAGGAAGGAAUUUAAGUUUUAUAUUGGUAAAAAUACUUCUGAAAAAUUGAUCUAUAAAAAAAAGACUGUCCUAAUAGGAAUUAUUUGUAUCUGAGGUGCUGUUUGCUAUCCUAAUUUCCAAGUGUUUUAUGCAAAUUCUCCCAUAAGGCAAAUCCUGCCUGUUGGGAGGACUGGGUGGAUGUCCACACAGGAUGCUGAUGACUUAAAACCAGCAGUCCUGAUAAUAAGAAACAGGAGUACCAUCUAGGGUUUCUACUUGGGAAACAUCUACUUGCAACUGGGGAAAAAAAAUACAACAACUGGUAUGUCAGUAAGUCACUGUCUGAGAAAAUGUGCAUUUUCCAACAACUCUCUUGUGUUUAGAAAUAGACUUGCUGAACAAGGAAGACCUGUGUGCUGGGGGAUCAUGGAGUAGCUUGGGGGUGGCAUGGGCCUCCUGAAUGCAGAUGCCCUGCCUCACCAAGAGCCUCCACUCACUUCCUUGGGUACCCCGGCCAGCCCUCCACCAUCUGCAUGCAGACUGAUUGUCUUCAUCCAGCUGUUCUAGCACCAGGCCAUAUCAGAAAACCUCGGCUAAGUGGAUUUAGGUUAAAGGCCUUAGCACAGUUUGAUCUGGUUUUGCUCAAGGCCGUAUGACAGAAUCACCUGGCAAACUUCCCCUAACUAUAAUCCAGGGCCCGGAUCUUGGAGAUUCUGAUUCUGCAAGUCUCUCAAGUGAUUCAGGCAACCUGUCUUCUGGAAACCGUGGCUAGGCUAGAGUGCAAUACCAGUGAGCAGAGCCUGCCUGCCUGGGUAUGUGGACAUUCUGUGAAUGCUCACUUGUCAAACUGGGCAGGCUGGGCCAUGGAAUUUCACACAGGUGCCUCAGAGUCCCUGGGUUGGGG